RNAcentral lists this ribosomal RNA (269 nucleotides) under uncultured bacterium. RNAcentral's name for it is "partial 16S ribosomal RNA". It matches the Rfam family "Bacterial small subunit ribosomal RNA", at positions 524 to 787 of the family's 1533-position model. The record is from RNAcentral.
UACGUAGGGGGCAAGCGUUGUCCGGAUUUAUUGGGCGUAAAGAGCUCGUAGGUGGUUUGGUAAGUCGGAUGUGAAAUCUCCAGGCUCAACCUGGAGGGUCAUUCGAUACUGCCAUACUAGAGGUCGGUAGGGGAGUGGUGGAAUUCCUGGUGGAGCGGUGAAAUGCGGCAGAUAUCAGGAGGAACACCCGUAGCGAAGGCGGCACCUCUGGGCCGAAGUUCUGACACUGAGGGCACGAAAGCGUGGGGAGAAGCAGGAAUUAGAAACCC